AACUUUUAACAAUGGAUCUCUUGGUUCCGGCAUCGAUGAAGAACGCAGCGAAAUGCGAUACGUAGUGUGAAUUGCAGAAUUUAGUGAAUCAUCGAAUCUUUGAACGCACAUUGCGCCCCCUAGUACUCUAGGGGGCAUGCCUGUUCGAGCGUCAUUUCGACCCUCAAGUCUAGUCACUUGGUGUUGGGGCCCGCCUGGCGCUGGCCCCCGAAUUCAUUGGCGGGGCCGGUCGGCAGCCUGAGCGUAGUAAACACGACCUCGCUCCGGACGCCCCCGGCUCCCCGCCGUAAAGCCCAACAAAGUUUGACCUCGGAUCAGGUAGGGAUACCCGCUGAACUUAAGCAUAUCAAUAAGCGGAGGCU
Molecule: unclassified non-coding RNA, 362 nt
Filed under: uncultured Ascomycota
Lineage: Eukaryota; Fungi; Ascomycota
Description: sequence contains ITS2
Rfam family: 5.8S ribosomal RNA (bases 1-154)
Source: RNAcentral